GUGAUGCCCUUAGAUGUUCUGGGCUGCACGCGCACGACAAUGGUGCUGACGGCACGCCUGACCAGUUCACCUCGUGUGUCUGGUCGCCUGUGUCGACAGGCAAUGGGAACCCUUCCAACUGGCGCCGUGAUUGGAAUAGAUGUUUGCAACUGUUUGUCUUGAACGAGGAAUGCCUAGUAUGCGCAGCUCAUCANACUGCACAGAUUGAGUCCCUGCCCUUUGUACACACCGCA
This 233-nucleotide ribosomal RNA is filed under the name uncultured euglenid. RNAcentral's name for it is "partial 18S ribosomal RNA". It matches the Rfam family "Eukaryotic small subunit ribosomal RNA", at positions 1464 to 1673 of the family's 1831-position model. The record is from RNAcentral. Lineage: Eukaryota; Euglenozoa.